This 341-nucleotide ribosomal RNA is filed under the name Mammaliicoccus sciuri. RNAcentral describes it as "partial 16S ribosomal RNA". Lineage: Bacteria; Bacillati; Bacillota; Bacilli; Caryophanales; Staphylococcaceae. The record is from RNAcentral.
UYCUACGGSAGGCAGCAGUAGGGAAUCUUCCGCAAUGGGCGAAAGCCUGACGGAGCAACGCCGCGUGAGUGAUGAAGGUCUUCGGAUCGUAAAACUCUGUUGUUAGGGAAGAACAAAUUUGUUAGUAACUGAMCAAGUCUUGACGGUMCCUAMCCAGAAAGCCACGGCUAACUACGUGCCASCAGCCGCGGUAAUACGUAGGUGSCAAGCGUUAUCCGGAAUUAUUGGGCGUAAAGCGCGCGYAGGCGGUUUCUUAAGUCUGAUGUGAAAGCCCASGGCUCAACCGUGGAGGGUCAUUGGAAACUGGSAAACUUGAGUGCAGAAGAGGAGAGUGGAAUUCC